Molecule: non-coding RNA, 219 nt
Filed under: Leeuwenhoekiella marinoflava
Lineage: Bacteria; Pseudomonadati; Bacteroidota; Flavobacteriia; Flavobacteriales; Flavobacteriaceae
Source: RNAcentral
ACUUAGCGCUUUAAUUUUGGUGGUUAUUUUCUACUAAAGAAAAUACCUUAAAAGGGAAUCAGGUGCUUAUUUUUUUUAAUAUUCCUGAGCUGUUCCCGCAACUGUAAGCUUUGUUCGGUUAACCGAACGGUGAAAAUCGCUCUUACACCACUGUCAUUACGAUGGGAAGGUUGAUUUUUAUACGCGAGCCAGGAGACCUGCCAGAAGUAACUAUAAACU